Molecule: ribosomal RNA, 309 nt
Filed under: uncultured bacterium
Lineage: Bacteria
Description: partial 16S ribosomal RNA
Rfam family: Bacterial small subunit ribosomal RNA
Source: RNAcentral
AGAGACAGCAGUAGCCACGGGAACACGAAGGGGGCUAGCGUUGUUCGGAUUUACUGGGCGUAAAGGGCGCGUAGGCGGACUGAUAAGUCAGGGGUGAAAUCCCAAGGCUCAACCUUGGAACUGCCUUUGAUACUGUUUGUCUUGAGUUCGAGAGAGGUAAGUGGAACUGCGAGUGUAGAGGUGAAAUUCGUAGAUAUUCGCAAGAACACCAGUGGCGAAGGCGGCUUACUGGCUCGAAACUGACGCUGAGGCGCGAAAGCGUGGGGAGCAAACAGGAUUAGAUACCCGAGUAGUCCCUGUCUCUUAUAC